AGACGAACCGUGCGAACGUUAUUCGGAAUCACUGGGCUUGAAGCGUGCGUAGGCGGCUUGGAAAGUUGGGUGUGAAAGCCCUCGGCUCAACCGAGGAAUUGCGCCCAAAACUGCCAGGCUUGAGGGAGUUAGAGGUGAGCGGAACUGAUGGUGGGGCGGUGAAAUGCUUUGAUAUCAGCAGGAACACCGGAGGCGAAGGCGGCUCACUGGGGCUCUUCUGACGCUGAGGCACGAAAGCUAGGGGAGCGAACGGGAUUAGAAACCCCAGUAGUCC
RNAcentral lists this ribosomal RNA (274 nucleotides) under uncultured bacterium. RNAcentral describes it as "partial 16S ribosomal RNA". It matches the Rfam family "Bacterial small subunit ribosomal RNA", at positions 523 to 796 of the family's 1533-position model. The record is from RNAcentral.